This 497-nucleotide ribosomal RNA is filed under the name uncultured bacterium. Its description in RNAcentral is "partial 16S ribosomal RNA". It matches the Rfam family "Bacterial small subunit ribosomal RNA", at positions 28 to 507 of the family's 1533-position model. The record is from RNAcentral.
GAUGAACGCUGGCGGCGUGCCUAAUACAUGCAAGUCGAGCGAACAGACGAGGAGCUUGCUCCUCUGACGUUAGCGGCGGACGGGUGAGUAACACGUGGAUAACCUACCUAUAAGACUGGGAUAACUUCGGGAAACCGGAGCUAAUACCGGAUAAAAUAUUGAACCGCAUGGUUCAAUAGUGAAAGACGGUUUUGCUGUCACUUAUAGAUGGAUCCGCGCCGCAUUAGCUAGUUGGUAAGGUAACGGCUUACCAAGGCAACGAUGCGUAGCCGACCUGAGAGGGUGAUCGGCCACACUGGAACUGAGACACGGUCCAGACUCCUACGGGAGGCAGCAGUAGGGAAUCUUCCGCAAUGGGCGAAAGCCUGACGGAGCAACGCCGCGUGAGUGAUGAAGGUCUUCGGAUCGUAAAACUCUGUUAUUAGGGAAGAACAAAUGUGUAAGUAACUAUGCACGUCUUGACGGUACCUAAUCAGAAAGCCACGGCUAACUACGCG